CAAACACACACACAUAAACAAAAUGUAGCCUACAAAUACUUUCACCAUAUGAAGACAUUUUAGUGUGAAUAUCAGUGUGUUUGAUAUUAUAUUGUAAUUAGCAAUGAAACCGGUUAUUCAUUAUGUCAGGCAAAACAACAAAGGAAAAGCAGAAGAACGUUGGACCCAGCAGCAACAGCAGAAUCGCACACAGAACCUCUUAAAGGCGGCACCCAUCCUCAAAAUACAAAACUAGAAGAUGGUGGAAGAAAAAGUUCAAGUUCAAGAGAUGUAAAACAGCGUCUGCCCCUCCAAGAGAAUAAAGCGGUCUUUAACGGAGGUAUCUGUGAGAGAAUGUGUACCUGACAAACAGACACCGUUCUGUUCCACUGCACCAUCUUCUCCGGCUGCAAAAUGACCUCCUGAUACACCAGCUCUGCAGAACACUGCAAGAGUGCCUAAAACACGCAAAACACAAAUUAAAACCCAAAGACCAUGUGAUAGAGGAAGAGGGCAGAGAGAAAAGAAAACGACCAAUGAGGAACUGAAAGUGAAGACAAAAGCGUGUGAGCUGGAACAAAAAUGAGCUGGAGGGU
Long non-coding RNA from Megalobrama amblycephala (Wuchang bream), 575 nucleotides. RefSeq lists it as uncharacterized. NCBI's taxonomy places the organism in Eukaryota, Metazoa, Chordata, Actinopteri, Cypriniformes, Xenocyprididae. The record is from RefSeq and is a predicted model, not a curated record. The transcript has 4 exons.